UACGGAGGGUGCAAGCGUUAUCCGGAUUCACUGGGUUUAAAGGGUGCGUAGGCGGACAGGUAAGUCAGUGGUGAAAUCUCCGAGCUUAACUCGGAAACUGCCUUUGAUACUCUCUGUCUUGAAUAUGGUGGAGGUAAGCGGAAUAUGUCAUGUAGCGGCGAAAUGCUUAGAGAUGACAUAGAACACCUAUUGCGAAGGCAGCUUACUACGCCUAUAUUGACGCUGAGGCACGAAAGCGUGGGGAUCAAACAGG
RNAcentral lists this ribosomal RNA (253 nucleotides) under uncultured bacterium. Its description in RNAcentral is "partial 16S ribosomal RNA". It matches the Rfam family "Bacterial small subunit ribosomal RNA", at positions 524 to 776 of the family's 1533-position model. The record is from RNAcentral.